Molecule: ribosomal RNA, 460 nt
Filed under: uncultured bacterium
Lineage: Bacteria
Description: partial 16S ribosomal RNA
Rfam family: Bacterial small subunit ribosomal RNA
Source: RNAcentral
CCUACGGGAGGCAGCAGUGAGGAAUAUUGGUCAAUGGACGAGAGUCUGAACCAGCCACGUAGCGUGAAGGAUGACUGCCCUAUGGGUUGUACACUUCUUUUAUAUGGGAAUAAAAUGUUCCACGUGUGGGAUUUUGUAUGUCCCAUAUGCAUACGGCUCGGCUAACUCCGUGCCAGCAGCCGCGGUAAUACGGAGGAUCCGAGCGUUAUCGGGAUUUAUUGGGUUUAACGGGAGCGUAGGUGGAUUGUUAAGUCAGUUGUGAAAGCUUGCGGCUCAACCGUAAAAUUGCAGUUGAAACUGGCAGGCUUGAGUACAGUAGAGGUAGGCGGAAUUCGUGGUGUAGCGGUGAAAUGCUUAGAUAUCACGAAGAACUCCGAUGGCGAAGGCAGCUCACUGGACUGCAACUGACACUGAGGCUCGAAAGUGUGGGUAUCAAACAGGAUUAGAUACCCGUGUAGUC